CGGCGGACGGGUGAGUAACACGUGGGUAACCUGCCCAAGAGACUGGGAUAACACCUGGAAACAGAUGCUAAUACCGGAUAACAACACUAGACGCAUGUCUAGAGUUUGAAAGAUGGUUCUGCUAUCACUCUUGGAUGGACCUGCGGUGCAUUAGCUAGUUGGUAAGGUAACGGCUUACCAAGGCAAUGAUGCAUAGCCGAGUUGAGAGACUGAUCGGCCACAUUGGGACUGAGACACGGCCCAAACUCCUACGGGAGGCAGCAGUAGGGAAUCUUCCACAAUGGACGAAAGUCUGAUGGAGCAACGCCGCGUGAGUGAAGAAGGGUUUCGGCUCGUAAAGCUCUGUUGGUAGUGAAGAAAGAUAGAGGUAGUAACUGGCCUUUAUUUGACGGUAAUUACUUAGAAAGUCACGGCUAACUACGUGCCAGCAGCCGCGGUAAUACGUAGGUGGCAAGCGUUGUCCGGAUUUAUUGGGCGUAAAGCGAGUGCAGGCGGUUCAAUAAGUCUGAUGUGAAAGCCUUCGGCUCAACCGGAGAAUUGCAUCAGAAACUGUUGAACUUGAGUGCAGAAGAGGAGAGUGGAACUCCAUGUGUAGCGGUGGAAUGCGUAGAUAUAUGGAAGAACACCAGUGGCGAAGGCGGCUCUCUGGUCUGCAACUGACGCUGAGGCUCGAAAGCAUGGGUAGCGAACAGGAUUAGAUACCCUGGUAGUCCAUGCCGUAAACGAUGAGUGCUAAGUGUUGGGAGGUUUCCGCCUCUCAGUGCUGCAGCUAACGCAU
RNAcentral lists this ribosomal RNA (778 nucleotides) under uncultured bacterium. Its description in RNAcentral is "bacterial SSU rRNA". It matches the Rfam family "Bacterial small subunit ribosomal RNA", at positions 96 to 860 of the family's 1533-position model. The record is from RNAcentral.